GGCUUUUGUGGAAUGUAAAAAGUUCUACGAAUAAGGACUGGGUAAGACUAGUGCCAGCCGCCGCGGUAAUACUAGCGGUCCAAGUCGCAGCCAUUCUUAUUGGGUCUAAAACAUCCGUAGCUUGCUUGAUAAGUUUUCUGUGAAAUCUCUUAUCUCAAGUAUAAGAAUUGUGGAAAAUACUGUCAAGCUAGAGACCGGGAGACGUAAAGAGUACGUCUAAAGUAGCGGUAAAAUGUGUUGAUCUUAGGCGGACUGACGAUAGCGAAGGCACUUUACGAGAACGGUUCUGACAGUAAGGGAUGAAGGCUAGGGGCGCAAAACGGAUUAGAUACCCGUGUAGUCCUAGCAGUAAACACUGCACACUAAACCUUGUGAUCUCUUCGAGAGAUUGCAGGGCUGCAGGGAAGCCGAAGAGUGUGCUACCUGGGAAGUAUAGUCGCAAGGCUGAAACUUAAAGGAAUUGGCGGGGAGACACUACAACGGGUGACGCGUGCGGUUCAAUUAGAUUAUACACCGUGAACCUCACCAGGAGCGACAGCAGAAUGAAGGUCAGUCUAAAGGGCUUACCUGACACGCUGAGAGGGGUUGCAUGGCCGACGUCAGCCUGUGCUGUGAGGCGAUCUGUUAAAUCAGAUAACAGGCAAGACCCACAUCUUUAUUUAC
RNAcentral lists this ribosomal RNA (663 nucleotides) under uncultured euryarchaeote. Its description in RNAcentral is "bacterial SSU rRNA". It matches the Rfam family "Archaeal small subunit ribosomal RNA", at positions 405 to 1067 of the family's 1478-position model. Lineage: Archaea; Methanobacteriati; Methanobacteriota. The record is from RNAcentral.